UAAGGCAAGAGAUUUUUUGAAAAUGUAUAGAAAUGUCUCACAGAUACAUUUAAUUUAGAUGGUUGAGAUCAAUCUUCAGUGUAUAUCAACGGCUCUGAAUUAUUUAUUUCCCGCCCAAGCACUUCUCUUCCUUAACCUUCUCACCUACCCACGUCUCUCUCUUCCUCUCUGCUCUCACCCACAUCUCUUCCUUCCUUCUUCGUCUCUCUCCCCCUCUCUGUUUAUUCUUCGACAGAACCCUCUCGACCACCGCCAUCGCGACCACCUCUCUUCUCCCUCGCAGGACCCUGUCUGUUUCCCCUUCUUCAACAGAUCCCUCGACCACCGCCAUCACGACAGCCUCUUCCUCAUCCCCCUUUAUCACUUCAGUCCUCUCCUCCUCGCAACAGAUCUCGCCGAAACCCUCUUUGCCUCUUUGCUACCGAUGCUUGGCAAGACACCGUUAAUGCGAGGCGUUUAAUGGAAUUACAGCUGUAAAAACCCUAGGUCAGCUUUCAGUUUGUUGAUACAUAUACAUAUCUAUAUAAUAAGGCAAGAGAUUUUUUGAAAAUGUAUAGAAAUGUCUCACAGAUACAUUUAAUUUAGAUGGUUGAGAUCAAUCUUCAGUGUAUAUCAACGGCUCUGAAUUAUUUAUUUCCCGCCCAAGCACUUCUCUUCCUUAACCUUCUCACCUACCCACGUCUCUCUCUUCCUCUCUGCUCUCACCCACAUCUCUUCCUUCCUUCUUCGUCUCUCUCCCCCUCUCUGUUUAUUCUUCGACAGAACCCUCUCGACCACCGCCAUCGCGACCACCUCUCUUCUCCCUCGCAGGACCCUGUCUGUUUCUCCUUCUUCAACAGAUCCCUCGACCACCGCCAUCACGACAGCCUCUUCCUCAUCCCCCUUUAUCACUUCAGUCCUCUCCUCCUCGCAACAGAUCUCGCCGAAACCCUCUUUGCCUCUUUGCUACCGAUGCUUGGCAAGACACCGUUAAUGCGAGGCGUUUAAUGGAAUUACAGCUGUAAAAACCCUAGGUCAGCUUUCAGUUUGUUGAUACAUAUACAUAUCUAUAUAAUAAGGCAAGAGAUUUUUUGAAAAUGUAUAGAAAUGUCUCACAGAUACAUUUAAUUUAGAUGGUUGAGAUCAAUCUUCAGUGUAUAUCAACGGCUCUGAAUUAUUUAUUUCCCGCCCAAGCACUUCUCUUCCUUAACCUUCUCACCUACCCACGUCUCUCUCUUCCUCUCUGCUCUCACCCACAUCUCUUCCUUCCUUCUUCGUCUCUCUCCCCCUCUCUGUUUAUUCUUCGACAGAACCCUCUCGACCACCGCCAUCGCGACCACCUCUCUUCUCCCUCGCAGGACCCUGUCUGUUUCUCCUUCUUCAACAGAUCCCUCGACCACCGCCAUCACGACAGCCUCUUCCUCAUCCCCCUUUAUCACUUCAGUCCUCUCCUCCUCGCAACAGAUCUCGCCGAAACCCUCUUUGCCUCUUUGCUACCGAUGCUUGGCAAGACACCGUUAAUGCGAGGCGUUUAAUGGAAUUACAGCUGUAAAAACCCUAGGUCAGCUUUCAGUUUGUUGAUACAUAUACAUAUCUAUAUAAUAAGGCAAGAGAUUUUUUGAAAAUGUAUAGAAAUGUCUCACAGAUACAUUUAAUUUAGAUGGUUGAGAUCAAUCUUCAGUGUAUAUCAACGGCUCUGAAUUAUUUAUUUCCCGCCCAAGCACUUCUCUUCCUUAACCUUCUCACCUACCCACGUCUCUCUCUUCCUCUCUGCUCUCACCCACAUCUCUUCCUUCCUUCUUCGUCUCUCUCCCCCUCUCUGUUUAUUCUUCGACAGAACCCUCUCGACCACCGCCAUCGCGACCACCUCUCUUCUCCCUCGCAGGACCCUGUCUGUUUCUCCUUCUUCAACAGAUCCCUCGACCACCGCCAUCACGACAGCCUCUUCCUCAUCCCCCUUUAUCACUUCAGUCCUCUCCUCCUCGCAACAGAUCUCGCCGAAACCCUCUUUGCCUCUUUGCUACCGAUGCUUGGCAAGACACCGUUAAUGCGAGGCGUUUAAUGGAAUUACAGCUGUAAAAACCCUAGGUCAGCUUUCAGUUUGUUGAUACAUAUACAUAUCUAUAUAAUAAGGCAAGAGAUUUUUUGAAAAUGUAUAGAAAUGUCUCACAGAUACAUUUAAUUUAGAUGGUUGAGAUCAAUCUUCAGUGUAUAUCAACGGCUCUGAAUUAUUUAUUUCCCGCCCAAGCACUUCUCUUCCUUAACCUUCUCACCUACCCACGUCUCUCUCUUCCUCUCUGCUCUCACCCACAUCUCUUCCUUCCUUCUUCGUCUCUCUCCCCCUCUCUGUUUAUUCUUCGACAGAACCCUCUCGACCACCGCCAUCGCGACCACCUCUCUUCUCCCUCGCAGGACCCUGUCUGUUUCUCCUUCUUCAACAGAUCCCUCGACCACCGCCAUCACGACAGCCUCUUCCUCAUCCCCCUUUAUCACUUCAGUCCUCUCCUCCUCGCAACAGAUCUCGCCGAAACCCUCUUUGCCUCUUUGCUACCGAUGCUUGGCAAGACACCGUUAAUGCGAGGCGUUUAAUGGAAUUACAGCUGUAAAAACCCUAGGUCAGCUUUCAGUUUGUUGAUACAUAUACAUAUCUAUAUAAUAAGGCAAGAGAUUUUUUGAAAAUGUAUAGAAAUGUCUCACAGAUACAUUUAAUUUAGAUGGUUGAGAUCAAUCUUCAGUGUAUAUCAACGGCUCUGAAUUAUUUAUUUCCCGCCCAAGCACUUCUCUUCCUUAACCUUCUCACCUACCCACGUCUCUCUCUUCCUCUCUGCUCUCACCCACAUCUCUUCCUUCCUUCUUCGUCUCUCUCCCCCUCUCUGUUUAUUCUUCGACAGAACCCUCUCGACCACCGCCAUCGCGACCACCUCUCUUCUCCCUCGCAGGACCCUGUCUGUUUCUCCUUCUUCAACAGAUCCCUCGACCACCGCCAUCACGACAGCCUCUUCCUCAUCCCCCUUUAUCACUUCAGUCCUCUCCUCCUCGCAACAGAUCUCGCCGAAACCCUCUUUGCCUCUUUGCUACCGAUGCUUGGCAAGACACCGUUAAUGCGAGGCGUUUAAUGGAAUUACAGCUGUAAAAACCCUAGGUCAGCUUUCAGUUUGUUGAUACAUAUACAUAUCUAUAUAAUAAGGCAAGAGAUUUUUUGAAAAUGUAUAGAAAUGUCUCACAGAUACAUUUAAUUUAGAUGGUUGAGAUCAAUCUUCAGUGUAUAUCAACGGCUCUGAAUUAUUUAUUUCCCGCCCAAGCACUUCUCUUCCUUAACCUUCUCACCUACCCACGUCUCUCUCUUCCUCUCUGCUCUCACCCACAUCUCUUCCUUCCUUCUUCGUCUCUCUCCCCCUCUCUGUUUAUUCUUCGACAGAACCCUCUCGACCACCGCCAUCGCGACCACCUCUCUUCUCCCUCGCAGGACCCUGUCUGUUUCUCCUUCUUCAACAGAUCCCUCGACCACCGCCAUCACGACAGCCUCUUCCUCAUCCCCCUUUAUCACUUCAGUCCUCUCCUCCUCGCAACAGAUCUCGCCGAAACCCUCUUUGCCUCUUUGCUACCGAUGCUUGGCAAGACACCGUUAAUGCGAGGCGUUUAAUGGAAUUACAGCUGUAAAAACCCUAGGUCAGCUUUCAGUUUGUUGAUACAUAUACAUAUCUAUAUAAUAAGGCAAGAGAUUUUUUGAAAAUGUAUAGAAAUGUCUCACAGAUACAUUUAAUUUAGAUGGUUGAGAUCAAUCUUCAGUGUAUAUCAACGGCUCUGAAUUAUUUAUUUCCCGCCCAAGCACUUCUCUUCCUUAACCUUCUCACCUACCCACGUCUCUCUCUUCCUCUCUGCUCUCACCCACAUCUCUUCCUUCCUUCUUCGUCUCUCUCCCCCUCUCUGUUUAUUCUUCGACAGAACCCUCUCGACCACCGCCAUCGCGACCACCUCUCUUCUCCCUCGCAGGACCCUGUCUGUUUCUCCUUCUUCAACAGAUCCCUCGACCACCGCCAUCACGACAGCCUCUUCCUCAUCCCCCUUUAUCACUUCAGUCCUCUCCUCCUCGCAACAGAUCUCGCCGAAACCCUCUUUGCCUCUUUGCUACCGAUGCUUGGCAAG
This is a non-coding RNA of Camellia sinensis, 4125 nucleotides long. The record is from RefSeq and is a predicted model, not a curated record. NCBI's taxonomy places the organism in Eukaryota, Viridiplantae, Streptophyta, Magnoliopsida, Ericales, Theaceae.